Molecule: ribosomal RNA, 459 nt
Filed under: uncultured bacterium
Lineage: Bacteria
Description: bacterial SSU rRNA
Rfam family: Bacterial small subunit ribosomal RNA
Source: RNAcentral
UAGUCCACGCCGUAAACGAUGAGAACUAGAUGUUGGGAGGGUCAGCCUUUCGGUGUCGCAGCUAACGCAUUAAGUUCUCCGCCUGGGGAGUACGCCGGCAACGGUAAAACUCAAAGAAAUUGACGGGGGCCCGCACAAGCGGUGGAGCAUGUGGUUUAAUUCGACGCAACGCGAAGAACCUUACCUACACUUGACAUGCCCUGUUUGGUUACCAGAGAUGGUAUCCUUCAUUUAGUUGGCAGGUGCACAGGUGCUGCAUGGCUGUCGUCAGCUCGUAUCGUGAGAUGUUGGGUUAAGUCCCGCAACGAGCGCAACCCUCAUCCUUAGUUGCCAGCAGGUUUGGCUGGGCACUCUAAGGAAACUGCCGGUGGCAAGCCGGAGGAAGGUGGGGGAUGACGUCAAGUCCUCAUGGCCCUUACGUGUAGGGGCUACACACGUGCUACAAUGGGCAGAUACAAU